UGAAAUUCUCAUACCAUUUCAACAAAACUCAUAUCGCAUACAGUUAGACAUUAAAGGGACACUCUAAAGCAAUUCCUCCCAUCCAGCAUUAGAAUUGCAUUCAAACCAAUGACACACUAUUGCCUUGAGUUUUUUGAACAUAUAUUACAACAAUGGUAACUGCCGUAAAUCAAACAAGUUAGAAUUUCUCAUCAGAUACUUUUGAGUGUUCACUCAGGGGAAGAGAGUCGUGAUUUCAAUAAGAAAACUAACCCUUCCUGAGCCAUCAUGGUGAAGAGUUUUUCUGUCCGAACGAUCAUAGGAGUUAUGUCGUCUGGGUCAUUAAGCCCCUGGUAGGGUCAACCAUGGCAAACAGGUGCUACGUGAGGGAUCAGAAAAAGGAUGGAUGAUAGAACCCUUAUGAUAAUAAAUAUUAAAGGACCAAGGUUUCCCUUUCCCGGAUGCAGGUUACCCCCUGAUUUGAGUCAAGCAUGGAGGUGGGAUUUGAAGGCAAGCACAUGGCCAGGCCUGUACCCAUGGGUUCCAGCCGAGCACAGCCCAAACAGGCGACGUGGGUCCCCCUUAUACAACUGAGGGAGGGACCAGGGGGUCGGGUGCGCAGUGACCAGGUGGCGGCUGAAGGCAGGGACCUUGGUAGUCUGAUCUGAUUACCCUGGUGUAUGAGAGGGUAGCCUCCCUCCAUCUUUGGGUGUGAGGAUGAGUCCUGACUGUUGUUUGUGCCUAUGCACCAAACAGCAAAUCAGAGUCCCCACCCUUUCUGGAGCUCUUGGAGAGGGUGCUGGACAUUGCUCGCUGUGGACCUCCACUGGAGUGGGCAGGAUCCUUUUGGACCCUCCACAUCAUGGCCACCAACUCUUCCAGCUCCUUCCGUUGGCUCCAAAAACCUCCAGAAAACCCUUAAAUGGAGGAUUCGGAAAGUGAUGCCAGUCCUGUAAUUGCCCUGCAAGACCAUUAAAGCAGUGGAACAGGUGGUUCACCGUCAACAUGAAGAACCCUGAGACAUUGAAAACCAAGACAUCUAUCAUCAACUUCGAGCGAUCCACCACCAACCAUGAGUCUCACCCAUUCCUCCAAAGAGAGUUGGGCCAUGGUUCCAAAAACAAGUGCUAAUGCUGCUUACUGAGAUAAGCACCGUCAGGCAUCAAGAUCAUAGGGCAGCAGCACAAGAAGAGGACAUCAACAUUGUACAGAAAAAAUAUCCGGCCGACUUCAUUGUCCUUGAACAGAAGGUGACUGAGGACCCUUCUGCUUCUGCAGAACUGAAAUUUCAAAUGUUGAAAGUUGGAGGAGUAACCCUCAAGGAAAAUAUUAAACGGAGAAGAGGGGUUGGGCACGAUGCAGUGGAAAGGCGUGAGGUCGCCUGUGUUGCCCGUGGUGAUUCAGAAGGAGUGGAGCUCAAAGAGGCAGAAUCUCGAGGAAGCACCUGAACACCUCGAGAA
Long non-coding RNA from Syngnathoides biaculeatus (alligator pipefish), 1439 nucleotides. RefSeq lists it as uncharacterized. The record is from RefSeq and is a predicted model, not a curated record. NCBI's taxonomy places the organism in Eukaryota, Metazoa, Chordata, Actinopteri, Syngnathiformes, Syngnathidae. The transcript has 6 exons.